GCGAGUUUAUAAAACUCCCAAAACCCUUUGUGAACCUUACCACUGUUGCCUCGGCGCGAGCCGCGGCUACCCGGAAGUUACCCUGCAAUGGUUACCCUGUAGCUACCCUGUAGCUACCCUGUAAUCGUUACCCGGGAGCUACCCUGUAGUACGCACCAAGGCCCGCCGGCGGACCACUAAACUCUGUUUUAUCCAUGUGGAAUUCUGAAUACUUAACUGAAAUACGUUA
Molecule: unclassified non-coding RNA, 229 nt
Filed under: uncultured Xylariales
Lineage: Eukaryota; Fungi; Ascomycota; Sordariomycetes; Xylariales
Description: sequence contains ITS1
Source: RNAcentral